GAUGAACGCUGGCGGCGUGCUUAACACAUGCAAGUCGAACGAAGCACUUCAUAAAGCUUGCUUUAAGAAGUGACUUAGUGGCGGACGGGUGAGUAACGCGUGGGUAACCUGCCUUACACAGGGGGAUAACAGUUAGAAAUGACUGCUAAUACCGCAUAAAACAGCAGAGUCGCAUGACUCAACUGUCAAAGAUUUAUCGGUGUAAGAUGGACCCGCGUCUGAUUAGCUGGUUGGUGGGGUAACGGCCUACCAAGGCGACGAUCAGUAGCCGGCCUGAGAGGGUGAACGGCCACAUUGGGACUGAGACACGGCCCAAACUCCUACGGGAGGCAGCAGUGGGGAAUAUUGGACAAUGGGCGAAAGCCUGAUCCAGCGACGCCGCGUGAGCGAUGAAGUAUUUCGGUAUGUAAAGCUCUAUCAGCAGGGAAGAAAACGGCGGUAC
Molecule: ribosomal RNA, 442 nt
Filed under: uncultured bacterium
Lineage: Bacteria
Description: bacterial SSU rRNA
Rfam family: Bacterial small subunit ribosomal RNA
Source: RNAcentral